AACGGCGGCCGUAACUAUAACGGUCCUAAGGUAGCGAAAUUCCUUGUCAGGUAAGUUCUGACCCGCAUGAAAGGCGUAAUGAUCUGGGCACUGUCUCAACAGCCCGCCCGGCGAAAUUGUAGUACCGGUGAAGAUGCCGGUUACCCGCGACAAGACGGAAAGACCCCAUGGAGCUUUACUGUAGCCUAAUAUUGGGUUUCGGUGUUGCAUGCACAGGAUAGAUGGGACGCUGGGAAGUGAGUGCUUUGGCAUUCAUGGAGCGGCCGUUGGGAUACCAUCCUUGCGACAUUGGAAUUCUAACCUGCGCCUUUGAAUCAAGGCGGGGGACAUUGUUAGGUGGGCAGUUUGACUGGGGCGGUCGCCUCCUAAAGAGUAGCGGAGGCGUUCAAAGGUUGGCUCGUCCUGGACGGAAACCAGGAGAGAGAGUGCAAACGCAAAAGCCAGCCUGACUGCGAGACUGACGGGUCGAGCAGAGACGAAAGUCGGAGUUAGUGAUCCGGUGGUAUGUGAGUGGAAAUGCCAUCGCUCAACGGAUAAAAGUUACCCUGGGGAUAACAGGCUGAUCUCCCCCAAGAGUCCACAUCGACGGGGAGGUUUGGCACCUCGAUGUCGGCUCAUCGCAUCCUGGGGCUGAAGUAGGUCCCAAGGGUUGGGCUGUUCGCCCAUUAAAGCGGUACGCGAGCUGGGUUCAGAACGUCGUGAGACAGUUCGGUCCCUAUCUGUCGUGGGCGCAGGAUAUUUGAAAGGCGCUGUCCCUAGUACGAGAGGACCGGGAUGGACGAACCUCUGGUGCACCAGUUGUCACGCCAGUGGCACAGCUGGGCAGCUAUGUUCGGAUCGGAUAAACGCUGAAAGCAUCUAAGCGUGAAGCCGGCCUUAAGAUAAGAUAUCCCACUGAGACAAUCAGGUAAGACCCCUUGAAGACUACAAGGUUGAUAGGCACAAUGUGUAAGUGGCGCGAGUCAUUGAGCAAGCGUGUACUAAUAGGUCGAGGGCUUGACCCC
This 1004-nucleotide ribosomal RNA is filed under the name human gut metagenome. RNAcentral's name for it is "bacterial LSU rRNA". It matches the Rfam family "Bacterial large subunit ribosomal RNA", at positions 1926 to 2925 of the family's 2925-position model. The record is from RNAcentral.